AUUGAACGCUGGCGGCAUGCUUUACACAUGCAAGUCGAACGGUAACAGGCCGCAAGGUGCUGACGAGUGGCGAACGGGUGAGUAAUGCAUCGGAACGUGCCCAGUCGUGGGGGAUAACUACUCGAAAGAGUAGCUAAUACCGCAUACGAUCUAUGGAUGAAAGCGGGGGACCGUAAGGCCUCGCGCGAUUGGAGCGGCCGAUGUCAGAUUAGGUAGUUGGUGGGGUAAAGGCUCACCAAGCCAACGAUAUGUAGCUGGUCUGAGAGGACGACCAGCCACACUGGGACUGAGACACGGCCCAGACUCCUACGGGAGGCAGCAGUGGGGAAUUUUGGACAAUGGGCGCAAGCCUGAUCCAGCAAUGCCGCGUGCAGGAAGAAGGCCUUCGGGUUGUAAACUGCUUUUGUACGGAACGAAACGGCUCUGGUUAAUACCCGGGGCUAAUGACGGUACCGUAAGAAUAAGCACCGGCUAACUACGUG
RNAcentral lists this ribosomal RNA (482 nucleotides) under uncultured bacterium. Its description in RNAcentral is "partial 16S ribosomal RNA". It matches the Rfam family "Bacterial small subunit ribosomal RNA", at positions 30 to 507 of the family's 1533-position model. The record is from RNAcentral.